This 378-nucleotide unclassified non-coding RNA is filed under the name Hevea brasiliensis (rubber tree). Lineage: Eukaryota; Viridiplantae; Streptophyta; Magnoliopsida; Malpighiales; Euphorbiaceae. The record is from RNAcentral.
ACAUUUCCAGUUUGUUCAUUAUCUAGCCGCACUCUCAUUUUCUGUCUUCUAUCAUCUCUAAGCUCAACUUCAUAUCACUCGCAUUUUAGCUGAGUACCCUCUAGUUCACGGUGGGCAUCAACUCCCAGGCUAAUCAGUCCACGGUCCUGUCUCUAGUGGCCACCCCCAUAAUCAUUCCUACAGAUUCAGCUCCUCCCAGGUAAGAGCUUACGUCACUGUUUUAUUAAGUGUUCACGUUCAUUUUUCGUAGUCUCUCUGUCCUUCUUACGUAUGUGAUUUUUCUCCAAGUUCAUCUUGCGCAAAGAGACCCAGAAAUGUUACUCUCGGGUCAUCUCUUUAGUGGUUAGUCUGUCUUUUUAUUAAUCUUCGUCAUUUCUG